UGUGUCUCUCCUCCGGCCGGCCCUGGCUUC
This 30-nucleotide non-coding RNA is filed under the name Homo sapiens (human). The record is from RNAcentral. Lineage: Eukaryota; Metazoa; Chordata; Mammalia; Primates; Hominidae.